GCGCCCGUAGUAGAAUGGAUACUACACUGGUCUCCGGAACCAGGGAUGCAGGUUCGAUUCCUGCCGGGCGUA
This 72-nucleotide transfer RNA is filed under the name Verrucomicrobiales bacterium. RNAcentral describes it as "tRNA-Arg". It matches the Rfam family "tRNA". From Rfam's summary of the family: Transfer RNA (tRNA) molecules are approximately 80 nucleotides in length. Their secondary structure includes four short double-helical elements and three loops (D, anti-codon, and T loops). Further hydrogen bonds mediate the characteristic L-shaped molecular structure. tRNAs have two regions of fundamental functional importance: the anti-codon, which is responsible for specific mRNA codon recognition, and the 3' end, to which the tRNAs corresponding amino acid is attached (by aminoacyl-tRNA synthetases). tRNAs cope with the degeneracy of the genetic code in two manners: having more than one tRNA (with a specific anti-codon) for a particular amino acid; and 'wobble' base-pairing, i.e. permitting non-standard base-pairing at the 3rd anti-codon position. RNAcentral also lists the same sequence under 1 other name. Lineage: Bacteria; Pseudomonadati; Verrucomicrobiota; Verrucomicrobiia; Verrucomicrobiales. The record is from RNAcentral.